AUCUUGGAAUAUAAGUUCAGAAAGAUGUUAUCUUGGGCAUAUCAAAAUCUUCAUUGUCAACAUUUAAGGAUCAUUUGCAGUGAGGAUACUUUCACAGCAUAUACAAUGAAGCCCAUCAGCGUCAUUUUGGCACUAUGCGUUGCACUAAUGAUGGUUACAACAGUUUUGACUAAGGAAGUAGGUCGACGUUCGACGACUUCCCAACCGACCUUCGGGUACUUCAUACGCAAAUGCAGAAAGGAUCCAGAAACUCUGAAGUGCAAAAAGGAGCACGCUGGCGACCCGGGUGACCUUGAUGCCGGAUCAAGUCCUUGUGCCGAGCUUUUUAAACAGUGUAUAGACAAAUACAAGCAGUCGCUGAUGAGCCCGUAAAUCUAUCCAGCUCGUCCUUGUCUUUUAAAUUGACAGCCACGUGAUGUUUUGAACCAGCACGAUAGCAGCUAGUACCUUUUUCAUUCUUCUUUUACUUGAACAGCUUCAAGAGAUCUUUAAACAAUUUGAAAUAAAUGCGUUACACAGG
Molecule: long non-coding RNA, 520 nt
Organism: Paramacrobiotus metropolitanus
Lineage: Eukaryota; Metazoa; Tardigrada; Eutardigrada; Parachela; Macrobiotidae
Exons: 3
Source: RefSeq, a predicted model, not a curated record